This 74-nucleotide non-coding RNA is filed under the name Chloropicon mariensis. The record is from RNAcentral. Lineage: Eukaryota; Viridiplantae; Chlorophyta; Chloropicophyceae; Chloropicales; Chloropicaceae.
AAUGGAGAGAGAAGCAGCAAAGGUGGCAGAGCGAAUACGAGAGACAACAGAGGGCGAGAGAAGCGUGGGAGGAA